GAGUUUACAACUCCCAAACCCAAUGUGAACCAUACCAAACUGUUGCCUCGGCGGGGUCACGCCCCGGGUGCGUCGCAGCCCCGGAACCAGGCGCCCGCCGGAGGGACCAACCAAACUCUUUUCUGUAGUCCCCUCGCGGACGUUAUUUCUUACAGCUCUGAGCAAAAAUUCAAAAUGAAUCAAAACUUUCAACAACGGAUCUCUUGGUUCUGGCAUCGAUGAAGAACGCAGCGAAAUGCGAUAAGUAAUGUGAAUUGCAGAAUUCAGUGAAUCAUCGAAUCUUUGAACGCACAUUGCGCCCGCCAGUAUUCUGGCGGGCAUGCCUGUCCGAGCGUCAUUUCAACCCUCGAACCCCUCCGGGGGGUCGGCGUUGGGGACUUUCGGGAGCCCCUCAGACGGGAUCCCGGCCCCGAAAUACAGUGGCGGUCUCGCCGCAGCCUCUCCUGCGCAGUAGUUUGCACAACUCGCACCGGGAGCGCGGCGCGUCCACGUCCGUAAAACACCCAACUUUCUGAAAUGUUGACCUCGGAUCAGGUAGGAAUACCCGCUGAACUUAAGCAUAUAUUAAGGCGGGAGGAA
RNAcentral lists this ribosomal RNA (579 nucleotides) under Trichoderma atroviride. RNAcentral describes it as "eukaryotic LSU rRNA". The stretch from base 184 to 337 matches the Rfam family "5.8S ribosomal RNA". The record is from RNAcentral. Lineage: Eukaryota; Fungi; Ascomycota; Sordariomycetes; Hypocreales; Hypocreaceae.